This 200-nucleotide ribosomal RNA is filed under the name uncultured bacterium. RNAcentral describes it as "partial 16S ribosomal RNA". It matches the Rfam family "Bacterial small subunit ribosomal RNA", at positions 524 to 723 of the family's 1533-position model. The record is from RNAcentral.
UACGAAAGGUCCAAGCGUUACUCGGAAUUACUGGGCGUAAAGCGCGCGUAGGCGGCUUUGUAUGUCGAUUGUGAAAGCCCCGGGCUCAACCUGGGAACUGCAGUCGAAACUGCAAAGCUUGAAUGUUGGAGAGGUUGGGGGAAUACCUAGUGGAGAAGUGAAAUUCGUAGAGAUUAGGUGGAACACCAGAGGCGAAGGCG